AUAAAUAUUGUUGGCCUCAACGUUCGGCUAGAGACGCUGCUACUGUCAACGAGGGCAUUUGUCCACUUCGGUUGACUUCGCAUGGAAUUUCA
This 92-nucleotide non-coding RNA is filed under the name Compsopogon caeruleus. Lineage: Eukaryota; Rhodophyta; Compsopogonophyceae; Compsopogonales; Compsopogonaceae. The record is from RNAcentral.